Molecule: long non-coding RNA, 674 nt
Filed under: Toxoplasma gondii VEG
Lineage: Eukaryota; Apicomplexa; Conoidasida; Eucoccidiorida; Sarcocystidae
Source: RNAcentral
CAUUGGAACCGACCGCGAAUUCGGACGUUUUAAAAAUGCAGUUCCCAGUGUGUGUUUGACUUAUGGUGUUGCGCCACUAGACGAGGAGGGUCACAGUCAACACGCUUCUGACAAGUGUCACGUUUGAGUGGAGUUUCCACAUCCAUCAGGAGGACUUACACUCCUGCGUCACUGAUCCCUUUAGGCUACCGCUUGCUCACGAUUGGAGGCCAUUUUCUGACAUAUUACUUUUCUCGUGCCUCCGUUCAGGUAGGUGUUGUCUCUCGAGAGGCUUUCCGUUGUCCCUCUCGCGAUGUUCUCCUCCAUCAGAGUUACGCAUAAAAUCGUUGACCCGGAGAAGUAUGCACACACGUUUAUCAAUCUGUGUCGUUCUACGUAGGUACCUCCAUUCUAUCCUAAUGUGUAGUCACUCGGUGCAGAGGUUUUACAGCCUGCAUGAGCUCUGCCCGUUCUGGAAACGUCGGAUGUUGACGGACUUGUUCCGCCUGGCCUAGCUUCGUACAAUCCAGAGAGCAUGCCCCCCCUCUCGUAGGAAAUUGAAAUCCAGAAAUUUUACCUCUUAAGCACUCCAUUGGUGUGGUGGUGUACAGCAUUCAUAAAGAACUUGGUUGUCUGUGUCUCACAACUGGAGUCAUAUUCAGAUUCUAAGGUAGCGCGGAUGCUUCACGAUCAUC